Molecule: ribosomal RNA, 691 nt
Filed under: uncultured bacterium
Lineage: Bacteria
Description: bacterial SSU rRNA
Rfam family: Bacterial small subunit ribosomal RNA
Source: RNAcentral
CACUUUUGGGAGACAUCUCCUGGAAGUCAAAGCUUUAUGUGCUGAAAGAUGGCCUCGCGUCUGAUUAGCUAGUUGGUGAGGUAACGGCUCACCAAGGCGACGAUCAGUAGCCGGUCUGAGAGGAUGAACGGCCACAUUGGGACUGAGAUACGGCCCAGACUCCUACGGGAGGCAGCAGUGGGGAAUAUUGGGCAAUGGGGGAAACCCUGACCCAGCAACGCCGCGUGAAGGAAGAAGGCCUUCGGGUUGUAAACUUCUUUUACCAGGGACGAAGGACGUGACGGUACCUGGAGAAAAAGCAACGGCUAACUACGUGCCAGCAGCCGCGGUAAUACGUAGGUUGCAAGCGUUGUCCGGAUUUACUGGGUGUAAAGGGCGUGUAGGCGGAGAUGCAAGUUGGGAGUGAAAUCCAUGGGCUCAACCCAUGAACUGCUCUCAAAACUGUAUCCCUUGAGUAUCGGAGAGGCAAGCGGAAUUCCUAGUGUAGCGGUGAAAUGCGUAGAUAUUAGGAGGAACACCAGUGGCGAAGGCGGCUUGCUGGACGACAACUGACGCUGAGGCGCGAAAGCGUGGGGAGCAAACAGGAUUAGAUACCCUGGUAGUCCACGCUGUAAACGAUGAAUACUAGGUGUGGGAGGACUGACCCCUUCCGUGCCGCAGUUAACACAAUAAGUAUUCCACCUGGGGAGUA